CACUUUCCUUGUGUGGAAACGGGGAAAGCAUCUACUCAGCCAGCAUGUACUCGAUCUCAAUUGAUGGAAUAACUGUGAUGGACGAAAUUCACAUGUUCGACCACGCACUGGCUGUACUAUUCAGCGCGUACUACGUUUUCAACAUUGCGUACACAGAAGAGAUUUGCAUCACCUUGGAGUUUAUUCAAAGAUGUCGUUGGGAUCAACCCUGAUCGAGGAACCC
Long non-coding RNA from Ixodes scapularis (black-legged tick), 223 nucleotides. RefSeq lists it as uncharacterized. NCBI's taxonomy places the organism in Eukaryota, Metazoa, Arthropoda, Arachnida, Ixodida, Ixodidae. The transcript is spliced from 3 exons. The record is from RefSeq and is a predicted model, not a curated record.